This 260-nucleotide unclassified non-coding RNA is filed under the name Herpotrichiellaceae sp. RNAcentral's name for it is "partial contains 5.8S ribosomal RNA, internal transcribed spacer 2, and large subunit ribosomal RNA". Lineage: Eukaryota; Fungi; Ascomycota; Eurotiomycetes; Chaetothyriales; Herpotrichiellaceae. The record is from RNAcentral.
CGCAUAUUGCGCCCUUUGGUAUCCCGAAGGGCAUGCCUGUUCGAGCGUCAUUAUCACCCCUCAAGCUCUGGCUUGGUGUUGGGCCUCCGUUGUAGGUCACCUCUACAACGGGCCUCAAAGAGAGUGACGGCGUCCUGGGAGGGAACCGGUACGAGGAGCUUCUAGUUAAGCAUGUACGCGGGACGACUCUUGGACGUACCGUUUUUCAGUCUUUUUUAAGUGUUGACCUCGGAUCAGGUAGGAAUACCCGCUGAACUUAA